This 440-nucleotide ribosomal RNA is filed under the name uncultured bacterium. Its description in RNAcentral is "partial 16S ribosomal RNA". It matches the Rfam family "Bacterial small subunit ribosomal RNA", at positions 338 to 795 of the family's 1533-position model. The record is from RNAcentral.
CCUACGGGAGGCAGCAGUAGGGAAUAUUGCUCAAUGGGGGAAACCCUGAAGCAGCAACGCCGCGUGGAGGAUGAAGGUUUUCGGAUUGUAAACUCCUUUUGUUAGAGAAGAUAAUGACGGUAUCUAACGAAUAAGCACCGGCUAACUCCGUGCCAGCAGCCGCGGUAAUACGGAGGGUGCAAGCGUUACUCGGAAUCACUGGGCGGAAAGAGCGCGUAGGCGGGAUAGCAAGUCAGAUGUGAAAUCCUAUGGCUUAACCAUAGAACUGCAUUUGAAACUGUUAUUCUAGAGUAUGGGAGAGGUAGGUGGAAUUCUUGGUGUAGGGGUAAAAUCCGUAGAGAUCAAGAGGAAUACUCAUUGCGAAGGCGACCUGCUAGAACAUAACUGACGCUGAUGCGCGAAAGCGUGGGGAGCAAACAGGAUUAGAUACCCUAGUAGCC